AGCGCAUCGAGGCGGUUGGCCCAGUAGCGGCGAUACGGCGCCAGCCAGGCAUCCACCUCGGCCAGCGGCUCCGGCAGGAUGCGGUAGAGGCGGCGCUUACCGUCAAUCCGCGCUGCGACGAAGCCGUGGCCGCGCAGGACGCUGAGCUGCUUGGAGACGGCGGGCUGGUUCAUCGCCAGCCGGUCAACCAGCUCGCCCACGGAGCAUUCUUUCACGCCGACGAUCUCAAUGAUUCGGCGGCGGGUGGGGUCAGCGAGGACCUCGAAUGCGUUCAUGGGGGAAGCAUGCCUCUCCAGUUAUAUGACUGUCAAGCAAUGUCUGCGAGAGGGCCUCUGUAUGCUAGUAUGCACGUAUGCACCGCAUAACAAUCAGCCUCCCUGAGAACGUCGCAGCCGCCCUCGAACGCGAGGCGCGGAGACGCCAUGCACCUGUCUCUCAGAUUGCUCGCGAAGCCAUCGAGAAGCGCUUGAAUCUGUCGGGCGAAAAGCGCGUGGUGUCCUUCGCCGGAAUCGUCAAGAGUACUGAAGGCGACAUCGCGGAGAACUUCGACGAGUACCUGGCCGCAGCGCGGGCUGACGACCCCGACCUUGAUAGCCGUAGUUGACGCAGGGCCGCUUUUCGCUGCCGUCGACAUUGGAGAUAAGCACCACAUUCGCUGCCUCCAGAUCAUCGAGAGCAGGGAACUCGAAUUCGUAAUUCCCGCGUUGGUCGUGACUGAGGUCACGUAUCUGCUCAACCGCCGUUUCGGCCCGAGCGCCGAAGCGAGGUUUCUUCGUGGCCUGGAGGAAUUCGAGGUGGAGGCCCCAACCAGCGAGGAAUGGGAUGCAAUGGCAGACCUUGUCGAGCGCUACAGCAACUUUCCCUUGGGCGGAGUGGACGCCUCCGUGAUGGUCCUCGCCGAACGCCUCAACACGGACCUCGUGGUGACUCUGGAUUACCGCCACUUCCGAGCAGUUCCGAUGAAGGACGGCCGGCCGUUUCGCAUCCUGCCCGAAUAGCCUCCUCGUCCCGCCUCACCGGCUAAACUGAGGCUAUGCCGAAUCGACUUGCCGACGAGACCAGCCCCUAUCUCCUCCAGCACAAAGACAACCCCGUCGACUGGUAUCCCUGGGGCGAAGAAGCCUUUGCCAAAGCCCGAGCCGAGGACAGGCCGGUGCUGCUCUCCGUCGGCUACUCUGCCUGCCACUGGUGCCACGUCAUGGAGCAUGAGUCCUUCGAGAACGACGCGAUCGCUGCCCAGAUGAACGACGGCUUCGUCAGCAUCAAGGUCGACCGCGAGGAGCGGCCCGAUAUCGACUCGAUCUACAUGUCGGCGGUGCAGUCGAUGACCGGCCGGGGCGGCUGGCCGAUGACCGUAUUCCUGACGCCGGAGGGCCUGCCCUUCUACGGCGGCACCUACUACCCGCCCGAAGACCGCCAGGGGAUGCCGGGCUUCCCCCGUCUGCUGUCCGCCGUCCUCGACGCCUACAGGAACAAGCGGGCCGACAUCACCGAGCAGGCAAACCGCAUCGUCGAAGGCAUCUCCCGAUCCACCACGCUGCAGGCCGGCGACGGCGAGUUGAGCGAGGACACCCUGCACACUGCCUACGCCGUGAUCGAGCGCGCUUACGACGCCGAGUUCGGCGGCUUCGGCCGGGCGC
This 1640-nucleotide unclassified non-coding RNA is filed under the name uncultured fungus. RNAcentral's name for it is "sequence contains 18S rRNA gene, ITS1, 5.8S rRNA gene, ITS2, 28S rRNA gene". Lineage: Eukaryota; Fungi. The record is from RNAcentral.